RNAcentral lists this ribosomal RNA (393 nucleotides) under uncultured bacterium. Its description in RNAcentral is "partial 16S ribosomal RNA". It matches the Rfam family "Bacterial small subunit ribosomal RNA", at positions 523 to 918 of the family's 1533-position model. The record is from RNAcentral.
AUACGGAGGAUCCGAGCGUUAUCCGGAUUUAUUGGGUUUAAAGGGAGCGUAGGCGGACUAUUAAGUCAGCUGUGAAAGUUUGCGGCUCAACCGUAAAAUUGCAGUUGAUACUGGUCGUCUUGAGUGCAGUAGAGGUAGGCGGAAUUCGUGGUGUAGCGGGGAAAUGCUUAGAUAUCACGAAGAACUCCGAUUGCGAAGGCAGCUUACUGGACUGUAACUGACGCUGAUGCUCGAAAGUGUGGGUAUCAAACAGGAUUAGAUACCCUGGUAGUCCACACAGUAAACGAUGAAUACUCGCUGUUUGCGAUAUACGGCAAGCGGCCAAGCGAAAGCAUUAAGUAUUCCACCUGGGGAGUACGCCGGCAACGGUGAAACUCAAAGGAAUUGACGGGG